UAAUUCAAGUUUAUUUAUUAUUUAAAUAAUAAUAAUUAUCAUUGUUGUUAAUUGAAUAAUUCAAGAGGAUAUUAUUAUUGAAAACAAGUGCAAGGCUGAUAUGAGACGGAAAAAUAUCGUGAAAAUAAUCAACACCGGUAUUGUCAGUGAGAUCAAAAGUAAUUGAAGUAUUAUAAAAAAAAAAAUAAUUUAUUAAUUAUUUUGAGUGGUCACUUGCUGUGAAAUAUUUUUCGCUGUUGGACUUUAUAAACAUUAUAGCAGAGUUCGCCUGCGGCACGUGCCAGGAGUGGACCGAAUAAAUGACGUAAAUCCGAGGAACAGAAAGGGACGUUACGCUAAUUCGCUGGUCCCCUACCCCUCUAUCCUCCUCUCUCCUUUUAUAUUUAUCCCAUCUUUCUCUUUUCCUCUCUCUUUCUAUUUCUCUUCUCUCCUACUCUCAACUUAAAACUCAAAACUGUCCUGCUCUGUUUUCCGCAACCUGGACUUAAAUCUCACGACCUUACAACCCAAAUCGACCUUUCGACCCGUCAGUAUACCGACACGUCGUCGCACCCACUUCUCCAUCCCUUGCUUUUUAUCCUCGACCAUCAUAACCCAAUUCGCACAUCCUUUUUUCCCACAUAGCCGCACUGCAGCAGACACCAGAUUACUGACAUACUGAAUCACGUCCAGUUGAUACCACAUCAGUCGUCUCCUCAAAACACCAACAGUCUCAGCCAUCGACACGUCAAGUGAUAUUGAUAGAUCAACAUAUCAGUCUAUCAGCGGAGGAUUUACUUAAAUAACAAUAAAAGUAUCUAUUGUGCACUUGCUAAGUUACGGCUUGGUAUAUUUGAAGCUUUGACAGUUGAGAGCUUUGGCUAAAAACUCACGAAUCUUGAAUAAUUAUUGUGCGAGUGUCCAUUGUAUUUUCUUAGCCUACUCCGACUUACGGCCUAGAUAAAAUUGAGCAACGAGACACAAUAAUAAAUCUAAAAGUCGAUAUAUCUGUUAAUGGAUUAACGACAAACGACAAAUUAUAAUUGAAUAUACCUCACGAUAUUUACUAUCAACAAAGUGAGUUUAAAUAUAAAAUCCAAUACUAAGGAUAAAGUAUAAAGAGUGAUUGAAGAAUAAUUCAAACUGAAUAUAUUGAAAAAUAAAUCAUCGGGUGUAAACGGCAAUAAAACAAUUAUAAGUAACCGGCGCGUGUUCUAAUUUGACGACGUCCGGAAAAGUUACGAGAGAAAAAAGGUACCAACCUGAGGAUUCGAGAGCUAUCAAAUAAACACGAGGAUAAUAAGAUGGCAAUGGUCAACAUGAACAACCUGCUUAAUGGCAAGGAUUCACGCUGGCUACAGCUUGAGGUCUGCCGAGAGUUUCAGCGCAACAAGUGCACCAGGCCUGACACGGAGUGCAAAUUCGCUCAUCCACCAGCCAACGUCGAGGUCCAGAACGGACGAGUAACAGCCUGCUACGACAGUAUCAAGGGACGAUGCAACCGAGAAAAACCGCCAUGCAAAUAUUUCCAUCCGCCACAGCAUUUGAAGGAUCAGUUACUAAUAAAUGGCCGUAAUCAUUUAGCCUUGAAAAAUGCCCUCAUGCAACAAAUGGGACUAUCACCGGGACAAGGGCUAGUGCCUGGUCAGGUGCCCACAGUGGCCACCAAUCCGUACCUGACUGGAAUGCCGCAGGUGAAUAACACAUACACGCCGUACUUCACGCCAAGCCCGAUAAUGCCAGCGAUAAUGGGACCAGCCGACCCUACGGGGGUUGGUAGCCCGUUGGGAGUGGUGCAGCAGACGGUGGCGAUGCCGCAGAAGAUGCCACGUACCGAUCGUCUCGAGAUGGAAUCAAAGUCCUUCGGAUCAUUCUACUACGAGAAUUUUGCCUUUCCGGGAAUGGUACCAUACAAGCGUCCCGCGGGCGACAAAUCCGGAAUGCCAGUGUAUCAAGCAACUGGCGCGACGACCUAUCAACAAUUAAUGCAGUUGCCGCAGCCCUUCGUGCCUGUGUCAUUUACUGGACACCCUCCCGGUGUGCCAAGAUUUUAAUCGACAACUGUGCAACCGUCCCGCCUGUAAAUUCAUUCAUCUCUAUGACGGAAAUGUGGAGGUGGUGGAUAACCGCGUGACCGUGUGCAGAGACGCCGUAAAAGGUGCCUGUAUGCGGCCCCAGUGUAAAUAUUACCACAUACCGGUGGCAUUGCCGCCGGCACCCUUGAUGGCUAUCAGCGCUUCCUCAAGCUCCUAGUCUACACUACUACGUCUACGUCUACUUCAACUACUACUACUACUACUACUACUCCUCCUACUCCUACUCCUACUCCUAAUACUUAUACUACUACUACUAUUACAACUAUUAAUACUAAAAUACUACUACAAGUUAUUAAUAUUACUAGACACAGUAUAUAACAUAAUACAUACAACAUACAUGCUACAUGUUACACAAGUCGGUACACUUUGGCGUGAGGAACGAAUUAAGUGAGGGACUGGCUACACAUACACUCGACGAGAAAAUGAUGCCGUUGUACAAGGAAUUGAGGAUCUAUACCAAUCUACAGAGAUCCUCCUAA
Molecule: unclassified non-coding RNA, 2554 nt
Filed under: Cotesia glomerata
Lineage: Eukaryota; Metazoa; Arthropoda; Insecta; Hymenoptera; Braconidae
Description: uncharacterized LOC123275435, transcript variant X12
Source: RNAcentral